This 118-nucleotide ribosomal RNA is filed under the name Pteropus alecto (black flying fox). The record is from RNAcentral. RNAcentral also lists the same sequence under 1 other name. Lineage: Eukaryota; Metazoa; Chordata; Mammalia; Chiroptera; Pteropodidae.
AAUGGUAACAUGCCACCCUAAACAAGCCCGAUCCUGUCUGAUUUCAAAAGCUAAGCAAGGUUGGGCCUGGUUAGUACUUGGCUGGGAGACUACCUAGGAAGACCAGGUGUUGUAGAUG